This 253-nucleotide ribosomal RNA is filed under the name uncultured bacterium. RNAcentral describes it as "partial 16S ribosomal RNA". It matches the Rfam family "Bacterial small subunit ribosomal RNA", at positions 524 to 776 of the family's 1533-position model. The record is from RNAcentral.
UACGAAGGUGGCAAGCGUUACUCGGAAUUACUAGGCGUAAAGGGCAGGUAGGUGGCUUGAUAAGUCUGUUGUGUAAGCUCCUGGCUUAACUGGGAGAGGUCAACAGAUACUGUCAAGCUUGAGUGUAGGAGAGGGUACUGGAAUUCCCGGUGUAGCGGUGAAAUGCGCAGAGAUCGGGAGGAACACCAAUGGCGAAAGCAGGUACCUGGACUAUUACUGACACUAAGCUGCGAAAGCUAGGGGAGCAAACAGG